UUCUUCAUCAACACAUAAACUGUACUGCUGUUGCUGUAAUUCUCUUAAAGAACAAUGGCUGCUCUCUCAGUAGCCAACACUUCUCUUAAGGUUAACAACAAAGGAUUCUCUGAAUUCUCUGGUUUGAGAACCUCAUCAGCUGUUCCAUUUGGGAGGAAAACUAAUGAUGAUUUGUUCUCUGUUGCUGGCUUACAAACCUCUGCUAUUGGAGGAAGGAAGAACAAGAGGAUAGUAACUGAGGCAAAGUUGAAAGUGGCUAUCAAUGGAUUUGGAAGAAUUGGAAGGAACUUCUUGAGGUGUUGGCAUGGUAGAAAAGACUCACCUCUUGAUGUCAUUGCCAUCAAUGACACUGGUGGUGUCAAGCAAGCCUCUCACCUUCUCAAAUAUGACUCCACCCUUGGCAUCUUUGAUGCUGACGUCAAGCCGGUUGGCACUGAUGGCAUCUCUGUCGAUGGAAAAGUCAUCCAAGUCGUCUCCAACCGUGACCCUGUGAACCUCCCAUGGGGAGAACUUGGAGUUGACUUAGUCAUAGAAGGUACCGGAGUUUUUGUAGACAGAGAAGGUGCCGGUAAACACAUCCAGGCCGGAGCCAAGAAGGUGCUCAUCACCGCCCCCGGAAAAGGUGACAUCCCUACUUAUGUUGUUGGUGUCAAUGCUGAACUUUACAGCCAUGAUGAACCUAUCAUCAGCAAUGCCUCUUGUACCACCAACUGCCUUGCUCCUUUCGUCAAGGUUCUUGACCAGAAAUUUGGAAUUAUCAAGGGAACAAUGACAACUACUCACUCUUACACCGGUGACCAAAGGCUUCUUGAUGCAAGCCACAGGGAUCUUAGACGUGCACGAGCUGCAGCACUGAACAUAGUUCCAACCUCAACUGGUGCUGCUAAGGCUGUGGCUCUUGUUCUCCCAAGCCUCAAGGGGAAACUCAACGGCAUUGCCCUCCGUGUUCCCACCCCUAACGUCUCGGUUGUGGACCUUGUUGUGCAAGUCACCAAGAAGACAUUUGCUGAGGAAGUGAAUGCUGCAUUCAGAGAGGCCGCUGAUAAGGAACUCAAUGGCAUUCUAUCUGUCUGUGAUGAACCACUCGUGUCAGUUGACUUCCGGUGCAGUGACG
This 1114-nucleotide unclassified non-coding RNA is filed under the name Hevea brasiliensis (rubber tree). Lineage: Eukaryota; Viridiplantae; Streptophyta; Magnoliopsida; Malpighiales; Euphorbiaceae. The record is from RNAcentral.